AUGCGCGCCGUCCAGUACACCGGCUACGGUGGCGGCGCCGCGGCACUCAAGUACGUGGAUAUCCCUGUCCCUUCACCGAAGAAAGAUGAGGUUCUUAUAAAGAUUGAAGCAGCAAGCAUAAAUCCAGCGGACUGGAAUAUCCAGAAAGGCUUGAUACGUCCUUUCGUUCCUAAGUUCCCGUUUAUUCCAGUAACCGAUGUUGCUGGAGAGGUUGUUGAGGUAGGCCCUGCAGUUCAAGAGUUGAAAGUCGGUGACAAAGUUGUGUCCAAAUUAGUUUUCUGGAAAUCCGGCGGCCUCGCUGAGUACGUUGCAGCAUCGGAGAGCAUCACCGUCGCUUGCCCUGCCGGAAUAUCCGCUGCUGAUGCCGCAGGGCUGCCCCUCGCCGGCUUCACUGCUCUGCAGGCCCUGAGGGCCAUUGGCACAAAGUUCGACGGAACGGGCAGCAGCAGCAACAUCUUGAUCACCGCGGGAUCAGGCGGCAUCGGCACAUACGCAGUUCAGCUCGCCAAGCUCGGAAACCACAAUGUCACCGCAACCUGCGGUGCGCGCAACCUGGAGGUCGUCGCGAACAUCGGCGCCGAUGAGGUGCUUGACUACAAGACUCUGGAAGGUGCAGCACUGAAAAUUCUUCGGGCAAGAAGUACGACUACAUCGUGA
This 657-nucleotide ribosomal RNA is filed under the name Triticum aestivum (bread wheat). RNAcentral's name for it is "partial small subunit ribosomal RNA". The record is from RNAcentral. Lineage: Eukaryota; Viridiplantae; Streptophyta; Magnoliopsida; Poales; Poaceae.